UGCUGAGAGACCUGUAAAGGAGCAAAGGAAGUGCCAGCCCUGAGUGCCGCCUGAACGCUGUGCUGAGGGAAUGAAAGCCUCACGAUUGGAGGAUUCUGUUGCUCUAAUACAGGAGGCAAGAUGCAUAGCCAGGAAAACCACUGCCAAUUUCUCGUCUACUCUGGACCCUCUGAAAGAAACUUCUGGACUGUCCAGCCAUUCCAAUUAGAUCCCAACUGGAUCCCAACUCUUGGAGUUCUUGACUCACCUUGCGGCCUUGGUCCAGCAGAGACUUGUAGCCGAUGCGCAAGUCUCGGGAAUACUUCAUGUAGAAGCAGUGGUACACACAUCUUCUUGGAGCUCUAGUGACUCACGUUGCACCUUGGAAUUGCAAAAG
Molecule: long non-coding RNA, 376 nt
Organism: Ochotona curzoniae (black-lipped pika)
Lineage: Eukaryota; Metazoa; Chordata; Mammalia; Lagomorpha; Ochotonidae
Exons: 4
Source: RefSeq, a predicted model, not a curated record